UAAACCUCCCCAAAACCCCCUGUGAACAUACCUAUACGUUGCCUCGGCGGAUCAGCCCGCGCCCCGUAAAAAGGGACGGCCCGCCCGAGGACCCCUAAACUCUGUUUUUAGUGGAACUUCUGAGUAAAACAAACAAAUAAAUCAAAACUUUCAACAACGGAUCUCUUGGUUCUGGCAUCGAUGAAGAACGCAGCAAAAUGCGAUAAGUAAUGUGAAUUGCAGAAUUCAGUGAAUCAUCGAAUCUUUGAACGCACAUUGCGCCCGCCAGUAUUCUGGCGGGCAUGCCUGUUCGAGCGUCAUUUCAACCCUCAAGCUCAGCUUGGUGUUGGGACUCGCGGUAACCCGCGUUCCCCAAAUCGAUUGGCGGUCACGUCGAGCUUCCAUAGCGUAGUAAUCAUACACCUCGUUACUGGUAAUCGUCGCGGCCACGCCGUAAAACCCCAACUUCUGAAUGUUGACCUCGGAUCAGGUAGGAAUACCCGCUGAACUUAAGCAUAUCAAUAAGCGGAGGAA
Molecule: ribosomal RNA, 513 nt
Filed under: Fusarium chlamydosporum
Lineage: Eukaryota; Fungi; Ascomycota; Sordariomycetes; Hypocreales; Nectriaceae
Description: eukaryotic LSU rRNA
Rfam family: 5.8S ribosomal RNA (bases 146-299)
Source: RNAcentral